RNAcentral lists this ribosomal RNA (311 nucleotides) under uncultured bacterium. RNAcentral describes it as "bacterial SSU rRNA". It matches the Rfam family "Bacterial small subunit ribosomal RNA", at positions 28 to 337 of the family's 1533-position model. The record is from RNAcentral.
GACGAACGCUGGCGGCGUGCUUAACACAUGCAAGUCGAGCGGUAAGGCCCUUUCGGGGGUACGACGAGCGGCGAACGGGUGAGUAACACGUGGGUGACCUGCCCUCAGCUCUGGGAUAAGCCUGGGAAACCGGGUACUAAUACUGGAUAUGACUCCAUGACGCAUGUUGGUGGGGUGGAAAGCCUUGUGCGGCUGAGGAUGGGCCCGCGGCCUAUCAGCUUGUUGGUGGGGUGANGGCCUACCAAGGCGACGACGGGUAGCCGGCCUGAGAGGGCGACCGGCCACACUGGGACUGAGACACGGCCCAGACU